Molecule: ribosomal RNA, 125 nt
Filed under: Nanobdellota archaeon
Lineage: Archaea; Nanobdellati; Nanobdellota
Description: partial 23S ribosomal RNA
Rfam family: Archaeal large subunit ribosomal RNA
Source: RNAcentral
CGCCCGGUGGAUGCCUCGGCUCGGAAGCCGAAGAAGGGCGCGGCAAGCUGCGAAAAGCUGGAGGGAGGUGCAUGCAACCGUUGAUCUCCAGAUCCCCGAAUGGGAUAUCCUGCCGAAAGGCAUCC